CCCCACUGCUAUCGGGAUGGGACUAAGACAUGCUAGUCGUGCGUCUCCAAGCCAUGGCGGAGACGCGGCGCACAGCUCAGUAACACGUGGCUAACCUGCCCUUAGGACAGGGACAACCCCGGGAAGCUGGGGCUAAUCCCUGAUAGGUGAGGGUUCCUGGAAUGGGCCCUCGCCGAAAGGGCGCCUAGACCAUGCUUCUAGGCGCUGCCCAAGGAUGGAGCCGCGGCCGAUCAGGUUGUUGGUGAGGCAACGGCUCACCAAGCCUUUAACCGGUACGGGCCGUGAGAGCGGGAGCCCGGAGAUGGGUACUGAGACAAGGACCCAGGCCCUACGGGGCGCAGCAGUCGCGAAAACUCCGCAAUACGCGAAAGCGUGACGGGGCUAUCCCGAGUGCCGUCCGCUGAGGAUGGCUUUUCCCUAGUGUAUAAAGCUGGGGGAAUAAGGAGAGGGCAAGCCUGGUGUCAGCCGCCGCGGUAAUACCAGCUCUCCGAGUGGUAGGGAUGUUUAUUGGGCUUAAAGCGUUCGUAGCUGGCUCAGCAAGUCUUCCGUUAAAUCCAGCGAUUUAAUCGUUGGGCUGCGGGGGAUACUGUUGGGCUAGGGGACGGGAGAGGCCGACGGUAUUCUCGGAGUAGGGGUGAAAUCCUAUAAUCCCGGGAGGACCACCAGUGGCGAAGGCUGUCGGCUAGAACGAGCUCGACGGUGAGGGACGAAAGCUGGGGGAGCGAACCGGAUUAGAUACCCGGGUAGUCCCAGCUGUAAACGAUGCGGGCUAGGUGUUAGGGUGGCUACGAGCCACUCUAGUGCCGCAGCGAAGGCGUUAAGCCCGCCGCCUGGGGAGUACGGCCGCAAGGCUGAAACUUAAAGGAAUUGGCGGGGGAGCACCACAAGGCGUGAAGCGUGCGGUUU
Molecule: ribosomal RNA, 906 nt
Filed under: uncultured archaeon
Lineage: Archaea
Description: bacterial SSU rRNA
Rfam family: Archaeal small subunit ribosomal RNA
Source: RNAcentral